CGCACCAGGCGCGAAAACUUUACAAUGCAGGAAACUGUGAUAAGGGAACCCCGAGUGCCUGUAUGGACAGGCUGUUCAGGUGCGCAAAAAACACUUGGAGAAAGGGCCGGGCAAGACCGGUGCCAGCCGCCGCGGUAAUACCGGCGGCUCGAGUGGUGGCCACUAUUACUGGGCUUAAAGCGUCCGUAGCUGGGUAGUUAAGUCUCUGGGGAAAUCUUCCGGCUCAACCGUAAGGCGUCUCAGAGAUACUGGCUACCUUGGGAUCGGAAGAGGUGAGAGGUACUCUGGGGGUAGGAGUGAAAUCCUGUUAUCCUCAGGGGACCACCUGUGGCGAAGGCGUCUCACCAGAACGACUCCGACAGUGAGGGACGAAAGCUGGGGGAGCAAACCGGAUUAGAUACCCGG
Molecule: ribosomal RNA, 405 nt
Filed under: uncultured archaeon
Lineage: Archaea
Description: bacterial SSU rRNA
Rfam family: Archaeal small subunit ribosomal RNA
Source: RNAcentral